This 111-nucleotide non-coding RNA is filed under the name chicken gut metagenome. Its description in RNAcentral is "FMN riboswitch (RFN element)". It matches the Rfam family "FMN riboswitch aptamer (RFN element)". Rfam says of the family: The RFN element is a highly conserved domain that is found frequently in the 5'-untranslated regions of prokaryotic mRNAs that encode for flavin mononucleotide (FMN) biosynthesis and transport proteins. The record is from RNAcentral.
CGUCUUCAGGGCGGGGUGCAAGUCCCCACCGGAGGUAAAGUCCUCGAGCGGCAUGCCGCAUGAACCGGUGAGAUUCCGGUACCGACAGUAUAGUCUGGAUGGAAGAAGACG